UACGGGGGGAGCAAGCGUUGUUCGGAUUUACUGGGCGUAAAGGGCGCGUAGGCGGUCAGCACAAGUCAGUUGUGAAAUCUCCGAGCUUAACUCGGAAAGGUCAACUGAUACUGUGCGACUAGAGUGCAGAAGGGGCAACUGGAAUUCUCGGUGUAGCGGUGAAAUGCGUAGAUAUCAGGAAGAACACCCGUGGCGAAGGCGGCUCUCUGGGACGGUACUGACGCUGAGACGCGAAAGCGUGGGGAGCGAACAGG
RNAcentral lists this ribosomal RNA (254 nucleotides) under uncultured bacterium. RNAcentral describes it as "partial 16S ribosomal RNA". It matches the Rfam family "Bacterial small subunit ribosomal RNA", at positions 524 to 776 of the family's 1533-position model. The record is from RNAcentral.